RNAcentral lists this long non-coding RNA (563 nucleotides) under Monodelphis domestica (gray short-tailed opossum). RNAcentral describes it as "lncRNA (ENSMODG00000050044.1)". The record is from RNAcentral. Lineage: Eukaryota; Metazoa; Chordata; Mammalia; Didelphimorphia; Didelphidae.
GUUCCAAUCUCUCAUUUAAGUCUUACCAGAGGCUCCAAGAAUCUGUACCAUGUGCAAUAGCCACACUCUUGUAAAACCAUCAGCAUAUUGAUGAAUUAGGGGUAUGUCUAGCCCAAGCUUAUGAAGACUUCCCCUGGUGGAAUGGGUGAAUGAGGACAAAAUAUCCAAAGAACAUAAAAAUGGCAAGUGAUAAGAACAUCUUGGUGUUUUGAGGAUGACCACAUGAGCCUAAGGAAGUCAGUGAGAAAGGUCUCUAACACUGAGAAAUGGUGUUCAUUCCUGCCCAAACAGCUGGUUUUCUUCUAAAGGAAGAUAUAAAUGAAUCUUGAGAAAACAGCCUUUAUUUGCUUCAGGAAAUACUCCAGGAUUUAUUUACUAAGUCUUAGAUUGUUGUGAUCUACUUUGGUGGAGAACAUUCUCACAUUGGAAGUUCUAUACAUGAACUCACUGAUCAUUUGUGUAUUUAUGUAAGUCUAGGAAAUGACAUAGAAUUUAAUGUGUUUGCCAGAAGUUCACUUAUUUGCUAGUUCAUUUGCCAAAUGUACAGUUUGGGAUAGUCUAAA